Equus caballus (horse) is the source of this 1914-nucleotide long non-coding RNA. The record is from Ensembl. NCBI's taxonomy places the organism in Eukaryota, Metazoa, Chordata, Mammalia, Perissodactyla, Equidae.
AUGGGGGUGGAGGUGGCAUUUUAUGAAAAUCUGAAAUCUUUGUUUUAAAAUAAGAACAGCUUUGUCUUGGAUUCUAUUACCCUUGGUCCACAAACUCUACUGAAAUCAGUGAAAAUUUCUAACUUUUCUUAAAGGGCAGUUAAAUGUCACGCUGAGCCUAGUUAUAUGUAACGAGCAAAACGUUCAGUGUAUUCAACAAAGCCCAAAGUUCGUAUUUCAGGAGAAGUAAAUCAAUGUAGAGACAAGAUAAUCAACCUCCCCAACAUCUUUAUGAAGAUCGUCACCGAGUCUUUAGCCCGCCUUCUGUUAGUUCAUCUCAGUCCACCACUGUAUUUUCCUCUUUGCUUUAUGAAUAUCCUUUUUCCCCCCAAAAUGACACCUACUGGUAUUCAUUCAUUCUGUAGUGACUCCCAUCUAUUUACUGUGUCUUGUCAUUUUCAUACAGUUUGGGGCAUGGAUUAAAAUCAUGGCUUCCUCAUUGAUGAACACAAUGCAUUGAUUCCUCUGUUUGUGGACCAAAUUGUAAAGGGACAAAGGUAAAUGAUAUCUGAAAAUCUCUAUACAAAAGGAAUAACGUUUGAAGGAUUUAAAAUUAUUUCCCACUUUAGCUGCACUAACAUGUUCUCAACACUCAAGAAUAACUCUCCCGCUUCUUGAUCUUCCCCAUAAGCUUCAGAAAUCUCACAGUAAAGAACAUUCAUCAGCAUUUGUCAGUGGCAGCAACCUCAGAAAGCCUGCAUUCCAGCACUGGAAUGGAAGAAAAGCAAAUAAUGCCGAGGCAUAUUUAAAAGGGAACGACGAAUGCCCAUCACUUAAUCUCGAUACAGGAGUAAAAUACAUCAGCUUUAUUUUGGUGUUGUGUCUCCCAAGAGAUCAGCAUUUUGCUUUUAUUAAGGUUUGCAUAUAUUCCCAAGUAUUUUAAACUAUGACAUGAAAAAUAACUCUAGUGCUUUUAAGUAAUCUUGGUAUGUAAAUUCGGAAAACCAGAGAAUCAAAAAAGAGUAUUUCUAUAGCUCAAUGUGUCUGUUGCUCUCAUUUGUAUUCGGGGGCGAUUUUCAGGCAAGGAGGAAAAGGUGUUUAAAUUUCCUACACAAUUCUGCCCUCUGUUGCAACUAUCUUGAAUUACUGGCUUUAACAAAAAGAACAAAAUGUUAAACGAAUAAAAUAGGAGCAUACCUUUUGUGUGAGUGUCUGUGUAUGUGUAGUUAUACCUUACUAUACAUAAAGGAAAAUGUACUGGGGCUGGCCCGGUGGCGCAGCGGUUAAGUGCGCACAUUCUGCUUCAGCGGCCUGGGGUUCGCUGGUUCGGAUCCCGGGUGUGGACACGGCAGCAUUCCAGGCUCUGAACACCAGGCACAGCACACAAGGUGGCGCCCUCAGCACUCAGGGAGGCUGGGAGGCUUCAACCAGAGCUAUGGUGCCUCAAGUUGGGGAGCAAAAACUGAAACAGAGCCGAGAGAGAGAGCACUGGGAGCCAGAGUCCAAGACAUUUGUCCACAGUGGCCAUCAGAGCAAAGGGGCCUGCAGUGCGGAUGAGAACUGAGGGAUCAAACCAAGUGACAGGGGAACCUAAGAGCCAUAAGCAGAGCAGGCUCAGAGCAGGCGGAUGAGGAUGGUCUGGACAAAGAGCCAAGGGACGGGCUCCUGCCCAGGGCAGGGCUUUUGCACAUUCCAGGAGGAUUAUUGGGUCCAGAUUCCUGUAAGGGCUCAGGUUGGCAUGGCCAAGGUCCAUCACUGUGUUUAAUAUUUGAUUCAACAAUCUCGUGUGCCCCAAGGACCUCUCAGUCAUGACGCUGCCUCCCACUCACCAUGUCACCGUAUUUCCUCACUCAGCUCCAACAUAUAGCUGGAACAGACAAGAAAGGAAUUGUUCUCAUUACAAAACUAACCUUGUGCCAGCACCGUGAGCUGCAG